This 168-nucleotide ribosomal RNA is filed under the name Saccoglossus pusillus. RNAcentral describes it as "5.8S ribosomal RNA". It matches the Rfam family "5.8S ribosomal RNA". From Rfam's summary of the family: 5.8S ribosomal RNA (5.8S rRNA) is a component of the large subunit of the eukaryotic ribosome. It is transcribed by RNA polymerase I as part of the 45S precursor that also contains 18S and 28S rRNA. Lineage: Eukaryota; Metazoa; Hemichordata; Enteropneusta; Harrimaniidae. The record is from RNAcentral.
CACCGACAAUUCUCGGCGGUGGAUCACUCGGCUCGUGCGUCGAUGAAGAACGCAGCCAGCUGCGUGAACUAGUGUGAAUUGCAGGACACAUCGAUCAUCGACACUUCGAACGCACAUUGCGGCCCCGGGUUUCUUUUCUCGGGGCCACGCCUGUCUGAGGGUCGGCGA